UACGGAGGAUCCAAGCGUUUAUCCGGAAUCAUUGGGGUUUAAAGGGUCCGUAGGCGGUUUGGUAAGUCAGUGGUGAAAGCCCAUCGCUCAACGGUGGAACGGCCAUUGAUACUGCCAGACUUGAAUUAUUAGGAAGUAACUAGAAUAUGUAGUGUAGCGGUGAAAUGCUUAGAGAUUACAUGGAAUACCAAUUGCGAAGGCAGGUUACUACUAAUGGAUUGACGCUGAUGGACGAAAGCGUGGGUAGCGAACAGG
This 255-nucleotide ribosomal RNA is filed under the name uncultured bacterium. Its description in RNAcentral is "partial 16S ribosomal RNA". It matches the Rfam family "Bacterial small subunit ribosomal RNA", at positions 524 to 776 of the family's 1533-position model. The record is from RNAcentral.